Streptococcus sp. is the source of this 126-nucleotide non-coding RNA. NCBI's taxonomy places the organism in Bacteria, Bacillati, Bacillota, Bacilli, Lactobacillales, Streptococcaceae. The record is from Rfam.
AAAACCUUUAAGAAUAGUCCAGAGAGGCUGUAAAGGUGUGCCAAAUUGAUUAUAUAGUAUACACUCACUUUGUAGUGUAAACUUUUUCAUAGACACACCCUGCCUUCUGGCAGGGUGUUUUUUGCU